This 468-nucleotide ribosomal RNA is filed under the name uncultured bacterium. Its description in RNAcentral is "partial 16S ribosomal RNA". It matches the Rfam family "Bacterial small subunit ribosomal RNA", at positions 28 to 507 of the family's 1533-position model. The record is from RNAcentral.
GACGAACGCUGGCGGUGUGCUUAACACAUGCAAGUCGAACGGAAAGGCCUUGCUUUUGUGGGGUGCUCGUGUAGCGAACGGGUGAAUAACACGUGAGUAAACUGCCCUUGACUUAGGGAUAACUUCAGGAAACUGGGGCUAAUACCGGAUAGGUGGUCCUGCUGCAUGGUGGUGGUUGUAAAGUUCCGGCGGAUGGGGAAGGACUUGUGGCUUAUCAGCGUGUUGGUGUGGUAGUGGCUUACCAAGGCUUUGGCGGGUAGCCGGCCUGAGAGGGUGACCGGCCACAUUGGGACUUGGAUACGGCCCAGACUCCUAAGGGAGGGAGCAGGGGGGGAUAUUGCAAAAUGGGGGGAAGCCUGAUGCAGCAACGCCGCGGGCGGGAAAAAGGCCUUCGGGUUGUAAACCGCUUUCGCCGUUGACGAAGCGUUAGUGACGUUAAUGGGUAAAGAAGCACCGGCUAACUACGUG